UUUAUCUAAAUCUCCUCCCAACGGAUCUCUUGGCUCUCGCGACGAUGAAGAACGCAGCGAUCCGCGAUACGUCCUGGAAGCCGCCGUGAACCAUCAAUUUUCGAACGCACAUUGCAUACAGGGAGGGUGGGGUGAGUCAAUUCUCACACUCGUGGUCUAGUUUACAAAGGAUGACUAAUAACUUCGUCAGCCCUUACCGUUUUCUCCCCCGCCCCCUCAGAUUACCCGCUGAACUUAAGCAUAUCAAUAAGCGGAGGAAAAGAAACCAACAGGGAUUGCCUCAGUAACGGCGAGUGAAGCGGCAAAAGUCCACCUUUGAAGUAUUGACGUGGUUGGGAGAGGUUAUUGCACAAGUCGCCUGGAACGGCCGCCAAAGAGGGUGAUAGCCCCGUAGCAUACAACCAAUCUUCCCAGCCGACAGAGUCGAGUUGUUUGGGAAUGCAGCUCUAAAGGUGGUAGGGUCCAUCAAAGACUAAAUAUCAGCGAGAGACCGAUAGCAAACAAGUACAGUGAUGGAAAGAUGAAAAGAACUUUGAAAAGAGAGUGAAACAGUGCGUGAAAUUGGGGGGAGGGAAGGCAAGGCCACGACAGUGGUCCUGCGCCCGUCUUGAAACACGGACCAAGGAGUCUAACCGGGGUGCGAGUGUGCGGACUUAACAUCCAAGCGCGGAGAGAAAGCGACACUCACCUUUGGUGGUGAGUGAGUCACCACCCCUGUUGGGACCCCAAAGAUGGUGAACUA
Molecule: ribosomal RNA, 742 nt
Filed under: Komagataella pastoris
Lineage: Eukaryota; Fungi; Ascomycota; Pichiomycetes; Pichiales; Pichiaceae
Description: eukaryotic LSU rRNA
Rfam family: Eukaryotic large subunit ribosomal RNA (bases 202-742)
Source: RNAcentral